This is a regulatory RNA element of Brochothrix campestris FSL F6-1037, 57 nucleotides long. It matches the Rfam family "Ribosomal protein L13 leader". From Rfam's summary of the family: This family is a putative r-protein leader autoregulatory structure found in B. subtilis and other low-GC Gram-positive bacteria. It is located in the 5' untranslated regions of mRNAs encoding the L13-S9 (rplM-rpsI) ribosomal protein operon. The record is from Rfam. Lineage: Bacteria; Bacillati; Bacillota; Bacilli; Caryophanales; Listeriaceae.
GGUAUUGUUUACCCCAUGAUAAGCCCCGGAAACUUAUUAUGCUUAUACAAACAAUGA